ACUUCGUUUCCAAUUCCAUCACUGCCUUCUUCCUCCUUCCUUUUUAUUUUCCAAUACCUAUUUAUGGAGCACUAGAGUCACUAAGCACAAUGAAUGGAUCAGCGAGGUCUGAGAGAAACAGGGGUGAAAAAGGCCAGCUUAGUUGGAUUUUUCCAUUUAAUGUUAAGGGUUCAAUUGGGUAGUACGCAAGAUUUAUUUGACACAAGCCCUGCAAUAUGGUGCAUUGUUCAAGCUCUUUUGUUUAUGGUUUCACGCGCAGAUUCUUUGGCAAACUGUGUUCUAAAACUGCUAGCAUCUAUGGAGCACUGGAGUCAUUAAGCACAGUGAAUGGAUCGACAAGGAAGCCAAUAAAAUAUGUUCUUUGUACUGCACUUAGUUCUUGUGGGAAAACCCGGAAUUGGCGUUUGGGUAUACAAAUCCAUGCUUUCAUGAUUCGAUCUGGAUAUGAAGAUAAUUUGUUCCUCUGUAGUGCACUUAUUGAUUUCUAUGCCAAAUGUUUUGCUAUUCUGGAUGCAAAGAAGGUAUUUAGUGGCAUCAGAACACAUGAUCAGGUUUCAUGGACUUCACUUAUUACGGGAUUGUCGAUCAAUGGACAAGGAAUAGGUGCCUUAUUGUUGUUCAAAGAGAUGCUAUACACCCAAAUUAUGCCCAAUUGUCUUACCUUUGUUAGUGUCAUUAGUGCCUGUGUUGGGCAAAGUGGUGGCCUUCAACAUUGCUCCGCUCUUCAUACUCAUAUCAUCAAGCAGGGAUGUGAUACUAACAAUUUUGUGGUCUGCUCAUUGAUUGACUGUUAUGCAAAUCAGGGACAAAUUGAUGAUGCCGUACUCUUAUUUGCUAAAACUAGUGAGAAGGAUAUUGUUGUGUACAAUUCCAUGAUCUCUGGAUAUUCUAAAAACAUGUUCAACGAAAAUGCAUUGAAACUGUUUGUAGAAAUGAGGGGGCAAAAUCUGGGUACUACUGAUCAUACUUUAUGCACGAUUUUAAAUGCUUGUAGCAACCUUGCAUUACUCCUUCAGGGAAGGCAAGUGCACUCUCUUGUUAUUAAAAUGGGUUCGGAAAGAAAUGUGUUUUUGGCCAGUGCUUUGAUUGAUAUGUAUUCAAAAGGUGGCGAUAUUGAUGAUGCUCAACGCGUGUUAGAUCAGACUUCUGAGAAGAAUAAUGUGUUGUGGACAUCCAUGAUCAUGGGUUAUGCUCAAUGUGGGAGAAGUUCAGAGGCUUUGGAACUUUUUGAUUGUCUACUGACCAAACAAGAGUUAGUUCCUGAUCAUAUCUGCUUUACUGCUGUCUUAACAGCUUGUAAUCAUGCAGGAUUGCUUGACAAAGGGGUGGAAUACUUCAACAAAAUGACAACAAAUUAUGGCAUGUCUCCUGAUAUUGAUCACUAUGCUUGCUUGAUUGAUCUUUAUGCUAGAAAAGGGAAUUUGAGUAAGGCAAGGGAUUUAAUGCAAAAAAUGCCCUAUGAUCCUAAUUAUGUAAUUUGGAGCUCUUUCUUGAGUUCUUGUAAGAUAUAUGGAAAUGUAAAACUUGGGAGGGAGGCUGCUGAUCAACUUAUCAAGAUGGAACCAAGUAAUGCAGCACCAUAUUUAACAUUAGCACAUGUCUAUGCAAGAAAGAAUUUAUGGAAUGAAGUAGCUGAAGUCAGAAGGCUUAUGCAACAAAGGGGAAUGAGAAAACCUGCAGGAUGGAGUUGGGUGGAGGUACCCUUCCAUUUGGUUACACGUCUUUGGGACACGUAUCUAGCUGAAGGAGAUGCCUUACCUGACUUCUCUUCAUUUCCAUUUUUUUUUUUAUAUCAGUAAUGACUGCUUCUUCAUUGCUCCUUUAUAUUCUGGUGGAAGUGUCAUAUUUAGCGCAGCCGUGUUCCCAUAUUAACACACUCAUGACACAGUUGCCUUUGCUUUUAUGAUUUUUUAAUGGUUAGGUUCAAAAUAAUUUUGCAAGACAAUAUGAGUAGUUCAUGCCUCUUAUCCCUUGGUUCGUGCCCCCAAAAUGUUGUACAUAUGUCAAGCAUCUAAGUUAAUUUUUUUUUUUAGUAUUUUUUAUAAAACAUCAUUUUGAGAAAGAGGAGGAACACAAAGUGACCAGGAUAAGAAACCCUCUGGAGCUAAAAGUUACUGCAAAAUUGAACUGAGAGCAUGAUGCAUUAAGGACAGCGUGCAAGUAUUCUAUACCUGCUACAUUGGUAGGUGCAGAAUUGGAGUAAAGCAAUAAACAUUUUCAAGAUACAGUCUUGUAUUUUGAGUUCUUAAUAUACAGUUCUAUCAAUCCCACAGACAAUGAACCAAUGGUGCAGAGCUUAUAUUUCUUCCUCAUCUAUUCUGUAGAGAAAUUGCGUGAAUUAUCUUGGAGUGGUGUUCCAGAUUACAUGCGUCCUGCAGUGUUGAGACUUCUCUUGG
Molecule: RNA transcript, 2396 nt
Organism: Vigna radiata var. radiata (mung bean)
Lineage: Eukaryota; Viridiplantae; Streptophyta; Magnoliopsida; Fabales; Fabaceae
Gene name: pentatricopeptide repeat-containing protein At4g37170-like
Exons: 3
Source: RefSeq, a predicted model, not a curated record